Molecule: ribosomal RNA, 668 nt
Filed under: uncultured cyanobacterium
Lineage: Bacteria; Bacillati; Cyanobacteriota
Description: bacterial SSU rRNA
Rfam family: Bacterial small subunit ribosomal RNA
Source: RNAcentral
CGGACGGGUGAGUAACGCGUGAGAAUUUACCUUUAGGAGGGGGAUAACAAUUGGAAACGAAUGCUAAUACCCCAUAUGCUUUUGAGUGAAAUGGAUUUAUACUGCCUAAAGAAAAGCUCGCGGCUGAUUAGCUUGUUGGUAAGGUAAGAGCUUACCAAGGCGACGAUCAGUAUCUGGUUUGAGAGGACGAUCAGACACACUGGAACUGAGACACGGUCCAGACUCCUACGGGAGGCAGCAGUGGGGAAUUUUCCGCAAUGGGCGAAAGCCUGACGGAGCAAUACCGCGUGAGGGAAGACUGCCUAUGGGUUGUAAACCUCUUUUUUCAGGGAGGAACAAAAUGACGUGUACCUGAAGAAUAAGCAUCGGCUAACUCCGUGCCAGCAGCCGCGGUAAGACGGAGGAUGCAAGUGUUAUCCGGAAUCACUGGGCGUAAAGCGUCUGUAGGUGGUUUAAUAAGUCAACUGUUAAAUCUUGAGGCUUAACUUCAAAACCGCAGUCGAAACUAUUAGACUAGAGUAUAGUAGAGGUAAAGGGAAUUUCCAGUGGAGCGGUGAAAUGCGUAGAUAUUGGAAAGAACACCGAUGGCGAAAGCACUUUACUGGGCUAUUACUAACACUCAGAGACGAAAGCUAGGGUAGCAAAAGGGAUUAGAUACCCCUGUAGUC